This 72-nucleotide transfer RNA is filed under the name Rhodothermales bacterium. Its description in RNAcentral is "tRNA-Thr". It matches the Rfam family "tRNA". Rfam says of the family: Transfer RNA (tRNA) molecules are approximately 80 nucleotides in length. Their secondary structure includes four short double-helical elements and three loops (D, anti-codon, and T loops). Lineage: Bacteria; Pseudomonadati; Rhodothermota; Rhodothermia; Rhodothermales. The record is from RNAcentral.
GCCUCCUUAGCUCAGCGGUAGAGCACUUCCAUGGUAAGGAAGGGGUCCGGGGUUCAAUUCCCCGAGGAGGCU